Molecule: long non-coding RNA, 320 nt
Organism: Suricata suricatta (meerkat)
Lineage: Eukaryota; Metazoa; Chordata; Mammalia; Carnivora; Herpestidae
Exons: 2
Source: RefSeq, a predicted model, not a curated record
GCCUGGCCCCAGCCGGGCGGAGGGGCAGGGGAACGGGGCAGGGAUCUGGCCAGGAGAAGGGAGCCCUUGGGUAGGGGUCAGGGCCCAGGCGCUGAGCACCCACCUUAGUCUUGUAGCACUUGCCACACUCAGGACACGGAUAGGGCCGCUCGUCCGAGUGGACGCGCCGGUGGCCGCGGACAUGCGCGAUGGUCUUGUAGAGCUUCCCGCAGUCUCCGCAGCGGAAACGGCGCUCGUGCACGUGAACCUCCUGGUGCUUCUUGAGCAGGUUCACUGGUCACCGAUGACGAUGAUGAUGACGUGACUGUCCCCAUGGUGGA